UACAGAGGUCUCAAGCGUUGUUCGGAUUCAUUGGGCGUAAAGGGUGCGUAGGUGGCGGGGUAAGUCAGGUGUGAAAUCUCGGGGCUCAACCCCGAAACUGCACUUGAUACUGCCUUGCUCGAGGUACUGGAGAGGAGAUUGGAAUUUACGGUGUAGCAGUGAAAUGCAUAGAUAUCGAUCAACGAACACCGAUAGCGAAAGGCAGCUUAC
This 210-nucleotide ribosomal RNA is filed under the name uncultured bacterium. Its description in RNAcentral is "partial 16S ribosomal RNA". It matches the Rfam family "Bacterial small subunit ribosomal RNA", at positions 524 to 729 of the family's 1533-position model. The record is from RNAcentral.